GCGCGUUAGUGGGCCCAGACCCGCGCAGACCCUGGCGGCAGGCCAUGUGUGUGCGCGCUGGGGUUUCCUUAAGGAUCUGAAUUCCAGAAGAAGCCUGAAUUGGGGUGCCUGGAAAGGUCCCAGGGUGCUGAGGACCGAGGGAGAAGGUAAGAUGAAACACCGCUCCCGGAGAGAGCCUGGACGUGGGGGUGAUGGGCUGGAGGCCGGCAGUACCCCUCUUCAGAGUGGGACCUGGGCCUCAGGCACCGACGAGGGAGCUGUGGGACCCUGGAGGGCUCCCUGGUGUGAAAUGGCUCAGGUCAGGACUGGUCGGUUGUAGCUCCUGCGCGUCUCGUGCAGGCUGCAAGCUGGCCCAGGGCAGUCCUGGGAGAAUCCACAGACUCAGGGAUGCCAGGAUGGAACCCAGAGCGCUGUGGCUGGGGAGAAGCAAGCCUACCGAGGACAGUGCCGGCGCUCAGUGGCCACUCAAUAAAUCGUUUUGGAAGGAG
Long non-coding RNA from Tupaia belangeri chinensis (Chinese tree shrew), 488 nucleotides. RefSeq lists it as uncharacterized. Lineage: Eukaryota; Metazoa; Chordata; Mammalia; Scandentia; Tupaiidae. The transcript has 2 exons. The record is from RefSeq and is a predicted model, not a curated record.